UACAUGGGGUGCAAACGUUGCUCGGAAUUAUUGGGCGUAAAGCGCGCGUAGGCGGUUAUCUAAGUCGGAUGUGAAAGCCCUCGGCUUAACUGAGGAAGUGCACCCGAAACUGGAUAGCUAGAGUACGAAAGAGGGUCGCGGAAUUCCCGGUGUAGAGGUGAAAUUCGUAGAUAUCGGGAGGAACACCGGUGGCGAAGGCGGCGACCUGGGUCGAGACUGACGCUGAGGCGCGAAAGCGUGGGGAGCGAACAGG
Molecule: ribosomal RNA, 253 nt
Filed under: uncultured bacterium
Lineage: Bacteria
Description: partial 16S ribosomal RNA
Rfam family: Bacterial small subunit ribosomal RNA
Source: RNAcentral